CAAAAUGGAGAUACUGGUAGCGAC
This 24-nucleotide non-coding RNA is filed under the name Rattus norvegicus (Norway rat). Lineage: Eukaryota; Metazoa; Chordata; Mammalia; Rodentia; Muridae. The record is from RNAcentral.